Anas platyrhynchos (mallard) is the source of this 3032-nucleotide non-coding RNA. The record is from RefSeq and is a predicted model, not a curated record. NCBI's taxonomy places the organism in Eukaryota, Metazoa, Chordata, Aves, Anseriformes, Anatidae.
GACAGCAGAGCCAGCUGAAACACCCAGACAGCUCAGAGGAACUGCCUGGUGUUCAUGGACCUUGUCUCCAGAUCCCAAAAUUCCCAAAGAACAAACCCUGAUGCACAGACUGCGGGGUCACCGGGUUGGUCUGUGUGGGAUUUCAAGGGGCUGCUAAGGAAGGAGCAAAAAAACAGUGCCACACAGCUUUACCGGCACCUGCAGGCUGUGAUUUGGGGAGGGAGCAAGAGGAACCCUGCUCAUCGGCGUGGUGAGGAUGCUGCCUCACCCGACACGUGCUGACAGCUGCUGCAGGCUGAAGGGCGGUGGAGUUUGGUUCCUUACACACAGUCUGGCACUGAUACCCACGGAGGGGAAAAGCUGCCCAGUGCCAGCAAAGCCACCAAACCUCCUGCCGGGCACUGUGGAAGCUCCCUGUGCUGCUCAGCUUUUAACCCAAAUAAUCGGAUGGGCACUGGAUUUCCUCCUCGCCUUCCAGGAAAAUGACCUCCCGGAGGUCUUGGCAGGGGUUAACUCUGCGCAAAGUAGUCACGCAAUGGGGAGGUCUUCUUCCAAGCACCAAAUAACUUGCAGAAGUAAUGCAUUUGUUCCUAAUUAGGAUAAUUGCCCCAUCACUUUUCUCUGUGGCAUCGGCCAACCUAACUCACAAACGUCUGAAAACACGAGCUGAAGUAUGACCAAAUUUAGGAGCUGAGUCGAGUAAUAUAUUGCCUCGGUUUGUCCUAAAACAUGAAUUGGCUGGGAGUCCUCCUGCGUAUUGCAUUUCCAGGGAACAUGAGGAACCCAUUGUGUAAUUAGCAGUAGUAUUUUCAACGCGCUGUGGUGUGCAGCCUGCGCCGCUCUCUGCCCUCCCGUCCCGGGCUACUGCACCUCCUGGGACCCUCGGUUCGUGGCUGGGAGCUGCCAGGGGGCUACCAAAUGCCUGUGCUGCAGAAGUGCUGAGCACGGCUGUGGUUAAGCAGGAGGUAAGGACUCACCUCCUCCUUCCUCCCCACAGGCAGCCAGAGCAGGGAUGUGCCUUGCUGUAACCCGCUGGGGGCCAGCAGCAGAGCUGGGGACAGGACUCUGGAAGGCUCAGAGCAAAGCCCAGGCCAUACACCAGUGUGCCCAGCACAGGCAGCUUGCUGGGGGCCUGGCAGAGCCGAUGUCCUGCCUGCAGGCUGCCUGGAUCUCUCUUGCUCCUCUUUCCACAUCCACCCGGCCCCUCUGACUGCCAUACAAAGCUUCUUUCCCCCAGGGGCGUUGAUAUUUAAAGGUUUUUGGAGAAAUCCAUUUGCACUGUAAGGAUGACUAAUGGUGAGGCCUGGGGGUGAGUUCAGUCUCCUCCAGGCCUCAUCCCCGCCAGGCCAGGAGCUGGCCAGAAAACGAGAGAGUGCUUCCCCCUCCCUCGGCCCUGUGCUAGCAGCAUCGUGCGUUCACCCCGCACAUCUCAUCCUGAAAUGUUGCCCCAACCCCUUGCGACUUUUGGGAGCUUUUUUGGAGGGAUCGAGCGCUGCUGCCCUGGUUGAACAGCCACGUUGCUGCCCCAGGUCUCUGCUGAGAUCCUUUUUGGAGGGGAGGUCACACAAAGGGUCUGGGGGUGCCGGAGUUCCCAAGGAGCCUGGCUGGGUCUCCUCCUGCUCACCCUACACCACGAGCCGUGUCCCAGGCUGGGGACUGUCCCCUGCCACCCGCUGUCCCCUGUGAGGAAGGGUUCAUGGUUAAAGGAUCAGGGAAGGAGAUGAGAGUGGACUUUCUGCGUGCCAGGACAUCCUCCCGGGACAGCUAGUUGGCCCGUUUGAAGCCUCGCUCUGCCAAAGCCGUGCAUUUCCUCUCCGCAGGGAUUUUCCACCCCAUCUCCACAUUUCACACAGACUUGCUGUGGGUGAGGCCCAAGCUGAAGGGCUCGUUCAUUCCUUUCACAGAGCUGGAUCCUGCACCUUGCACCGGCUGCUCCCCAGCCUGGCCGUGCCUUCGCCUUUGCUUCCCUCUCCUCUCCCCCUCCAGCUUCUUUCUCCCCUCCUCUGGGGCUUUGCCCCACGUCGGAGCAGGGAGCGCCCCUCCACCAAGCAGCCUGCUCCUGGCCCUGCACACGGUGGCUUCAUCAUAGGAAGAAAGGGGGAGGAAAAAAGAAAAAGAAACAAGAAAAAAAGAAAAAAAAAAAAAAGAGGACUCAUUUUCUUUAAAAAAUACAAACAUGGAAACCUUCCCAUUAGUGUGUGAGCUGAUGGAUUUCCAAUCGGCUCCGCGGCCGAGGCAGUCUGCACACACAGAGCAUGGACCCGCAGCCUGCCUCGCGCCGUAGCCUUUCUAUUUUUUGAUGGUAGGGAGGUUCAAGUCGAGACAGAGCAGCCCCCAGGGAGUUUUUCUCGCUGCAGUUCUGCCUGUUUGAAGAUCCCAGCCUGGGAGGUCAGCGGUGUCUGUGCAGGACCUGGGCAGGGAGCUCGGCCCCAUCCCAUCCGCAGGCUGCAAAUCUGCCUGAGCCCGGCCACUCGCACGUCUGUGCUCUUGGGAAAGCACUUAAGCCUCUUGCUUCCAGUCCAAGUGCAUCCUGCUUAAAUCUCCCUCCUGGAUCUGGGCGCUUAAUAAGUCUUAGCAUUUUAUUAGCAGAUACUAAUAGCAGUGGCUCGGAGCCGCGUGCUUUGAAUUCAAAUCCCCCUCGGCACAACAUGCUCCGCUCAUCCCCCUGGCCGCGCGGACGCAGACAUCUCCCACAUCCCCUACGUGGAGCCCUUCCUGCCCAAGGGGUGAGCAGCCAGUUCCUGCUAACUGCAGGCUGAAUCUCACCAGCACCAUUAGCAGGGGCCAGCAGGAGAAAGGGGGCCACCAAACCUGCAGCCCCCAGACCUGCACCGAGCAGAAGCUGCCGUGUCCAAAAGUGCCUCCAAAAGCCUUCUCUCCCACCUCCGGUGGCCUCUCCAGGGAAGUGGGCCUCUAGCAGGCGAGAUGAAGCAAGGCUGAGCUGGUGGAUAUUGAUGGCAACGUAGGAACUGGGCCAGAAAGUUGCCUCUGGAUAGGGAGGAGGAGAUGCAGUGGAGAGCAACCAAGCCACA